AACAGGAUUAGAUACCCUGGUAGUCCACGCCGUAAACGAUGUCGACUUGGAGGUUGUGCCCUUGAGGCGUGGCUUCCGGAGCUAACGCGUUAAGUCGACCGCCUGGGGAGUACGGCCGCAAGGUUAAAACUCAAAUGAAUUGACGGGGGCCCGCACAAGCGGUGGAGCAUGUGGUUUAAUUCGAUGCAACGCGAAGAACCUUACCUACUCUUGACAUCCAGAGAACUUAGCAGAGAUGCUUUGGUGCCUUCGGGAACUCUGAGACAGGUGCUGCAUGGCUGUCGUCAGCUCGUGUUGUGAAAUGUUGGGUUAAGUCCCGCAACGAGCGCAACCCUUAUCCUUUGUUGCCAGCGGUUCGGCCGGGAACUCAAAGGAGACUGCCAGUGAUAAACUGGAGGAAGGUGGGGAUGACGUCAAGUCAUCAUGGCCCUUACGAGUAGGGCUACACACGUGCUACAAUGGCGCAUACAAAGAGAAGCGACCUCGCGAGAGCAAGCGGACCUCAUAAAGUGCGUCGUAGUCCGGAUUGGAGUCUGCAACUCGACUCCAUGAAGUCGGAAUCGCUAGUAAUCGUGGAUCAGAAUGCCACGGUGAAUACGUUCCCGGGCCUUGUACACACCGCCCGUCACACCAUGGGAGUGGGUUGCAAAAGAAGUAGGUAGCUUAACCUUCGGGAGGGCGCUUACCACUUUGUGAUUCAUGACUGGGGUGAAGUCGUAACAAGGUAACC
This 730-nucleotide ribosomal RNA is filed under the name uncultured bacterium. RNAcentral's name for it is "bacterial SSU rRNA". It matches the Rfam family "Bacterial small subunit ribosomal RNA", at positions 771 to 1501 of the family's 1533-position model. The record is from RNAcentral.